AGAAUCAACGCUGGCGGCGUGCCUAACACAUGCAAGUCGCACGAGAAAGGGGAGCAAUCCCUGAGUAAAGUGGCGCACGGGUGAGUAACACGUGAAUAAUCUACCUCCGAGUGGGGAAUAACUGAGAGAAAUCUUAGCUAAUACCGCAUAACACUUACGAGUCAAAGCAGCAAUGCGCUUGGAGAGGAGUUCGCGGCCGAUUAGUUAGUUGGCGGGGUAAUGGCCCACCAAGACUGUGAUCGAUA
Molecule: ribosomal RNA, 245 nt
Filed under: uncultured bacterium
Lineage: Bacteria
Description: partial small subunit ribosomal RNA
Rfam family: Bacterial small subunit ribosomal RNA
Source: RNAcentral